This 165-nucleotide ribosomal RNA is filed under the name uncultured bacterium. RNAcentral describes it as "partial 16S rRNA". It matches the Rfam family "Bacterial small subunit ribosomal RNA", at positions 354 to 511 of the family's 1533-position model. The record is from RNAcentral.
GUAGGGAAUCUUCCACAAUGGGCGCAAGCCUGAUGGAGCAACACCGCGUGAGUGAAGAAGGGUUUCGGCUCGUAAAGCUCUGUUGUUAAAGAAGAACACGUAUGAGAGUAACUGUUCAUACGUUGACGGUAUUUAACCAGAAAGUCACGGCUAACUACGUGCAAG